AGUGGCGAACGGGUGAGUAAAGUAUCGGAACGUGCCCAGUCGUGGGGGAUAACGUAGCGAAAGUUACGCUAAUACCGCAUACGAUCUAUGGAUGAAAGCGGGGGAUCGCAAGACCUCGCGCGAUUGGAGCGGCCGAUAUCAGAUUAGGUAGUUGGUGGGGUAAAGGCUCACCAAGCCGACGAUCUGUAGCUGGUCUGAGAGGACCACCACCCACACUGGGACUGAGACACGGCCCACACUCCUACGGGAGGCAGCAGUGGGGAAUUUUGGACAAUGGGCGCAAGCCUGAUCCAGCCAUGCCGCGUGCAGGAUGAAGGCCUUCGGGUUGUAAACUGCUUUUGUACGGAACGAAAAGGUUUGGCCUAAUAAGCUGAGCUCAUGACGGUACCGUAAGAAUAAGCACCGGCUAACUACGUGCCAGCAGCCGCGGUAAUACGUAGGGUGCGAGCGUUAAUCGGAAUUACUGGGCGUAAAGCGUGCGCAGGCGGUUAUGUAAGACAGAUGUGAACUCCCCGGGCUCAACCUGGGAACUGCAUUAGUGACUGCAUAGCUGGAGUACGGCAGAGGGAGAUGUAAUUCCGCGUGUAGCAGUGAAAUGCGUAUAUAUGCGGAGGAACACCGAUGGCGAAGGCCAUCCCCUGGGUCUGUACUGACGCUCAUGCACGAGAGCGUGGG
This 675-nucleotide ribosomal RNA is filed under the name uncultured Curvibacter sp. RNAcentral's name for it is "bacterial SSU rRNA". It matches the Rfam family "Bacterial small subunit ribosomal RNA", at positions 94 to 765 of the family's 1533-position model. The record is from RNAcentral. Lineage: Bacteria; Pseudomonadati; Pseudomonadota; Betaproteobacteria; Burkholderiales; Comamonadaceae.